Anopheles darlingi is the source of this 765-nucleotide long non-coding RNA. RefSeq lists it as uncharacterized. The record is from RefSeq and is a predicted model, not a curated record. Lineage: Eukaryota; Metazoa; Arthropoda; Insecta; Diptera; Culicidae. The transcript is spliced from 3 exons.
CACCCGAUCACGCGGGCGAGGGUGAUGCCCGACCGUCGACCGGACCGGACCAACUACGGUUAACUUGCAGGGACUCAACUUUACCAGUCUUCACGGUGCGAUGGCGUCCAUUCCGGGACUGCAAAACGUUCAGGUUCAAAUUGCCGGACUUCCACAGCCGAUUUCUCAGACUCUUUCGUCUACGCCGUCAGGAACGACAACCGGUCGACUAGCCUACUUAACCAGACGACUAGCCUACUUGUGUCCGUUCCAGUGACCAACACCACACAGGCUGCUGUGAACACCAUCAACGCCGGUGCUAAUAAUACCAUACUGUCUGGUAACUCGCAAACGACACAAACGGUCGUUUUGACGAAUCCACAAACAAGUGGCUCCAGUCUACUCACUCUACCUACUGGUAGGUUUUUGGCCUUUGAAGGAAUGCGCUUGGCAAACUCUUUCGUAUAUUCCAUCUUCGCUUUGACGAACCGGUGGACCACUAACGGUGAAUGCUGGUCAACCGGGUCAACAGAUACAGCUACUGAACAUCAGUCAACGGCCUAGGGCGGGCACACCGAUUUCCGGUUCACAUCACGGCGGCCAAUGUUACUUCAAACACCACACCGAAUCAGCUCCUCAUGGCUACGAAGCAGCUACAAUUGAAGAUUCAACAACAGCAACACCAUCAUCAGUUGCAAUAACAGCAGCAAAUUAUAACCGGAAGCAGUAACCAAUCAACGGUUGGCGGAAAUAAUACCACGCAAAUCCACAUCCAGCCGCGGCCAC